AAAAGUAGGCGCAGGCGGUUGCGGAUUAGCGGAAGCUUGUCUGAGGAAAGUCCGGGCUCCCGAAAAACCAAACUUGCUGGGUAACGCCCAGUGCGAGCGAUCGUGAGGAUAGUGCCACAGAAAGAUACCGCCCCCCGAUUUGAGAUUUGAGAUUUGAGAUUUGAGAUUGCAUCAAAAAUCGAGCAUCGAAAAUCCCAAAGUGUUAGGGGGUAAGGGUGCAAAGGUGCGGUAAGAGCGCACCAGCAGCAUCGAGAGGUGCUGGCUCGGUAAACCCCAGUUGGGAGCAAGGUCGGAGGGACUAUGGUUGGUUUUUUACCAGUUCUGUUUUUUGGUACCGCUUGAGGCGUCUGGUAACAGGCGUCCCAGAUAGAUAACUGCCCUCGAAAACUGCUUGCAGUUGAGAGAACAGAACCCGGCUUAUGUCCGACUUUUUCCC
This 436-nucleotide RNase P RNA is filed under the name Microcoleus sp. FACHB-61. Its description in RNAcentral is "RNase P RNA component class A". It matches the Rfam family "Bacterial RNase P class A". Rfam says of the family: Ribonuclease P (RNase P) is a ubiquitous endoribonuclease, found in archaea, bacteria and eukarya as well as chloroplasts and mitochondria. RNAcentral also lists the same sequence under 1 other name. The record is from RNAcentral. Lineage: Bacteria; Bacillati; Cyanobacteriota; Cyanophyceae; Oscillatoriales; Microcoleaceae.